Molecule: ribosomal RNA, 640 nt
Filed under: uncultured bacterium
Lineage: Bacteria
Description: bacterial SSU rRNA
Rfam family: Bacterial small subunit ribosomal RNA
Source: RNAcentral
CGCGGCCUAUCAGCUUGUUGGUGGGGUAAAGGCUCACCAAGGCAUUGACGGGUAGCUGGUCUGAGAGGACGAUCAGCCACACUGGGACUGAGACACGGCCCAGACUCCUGCGGGAGGCAGCAGUGGGGAAUCUUGCGCAAUGGGCGAAAGCCUGACGCAGCAACGCCGCGUGGGGGAUGAAGGCUCUCGGGUUGUAAACCCCUUUCAGCAGGGACGAAAUUGACGGUACCUGAAGAAGAAGCCCCGGCCAACUACGUGCCAGCAGCCGCGGUAACACGUAGGGGGCGAGCGUUGUCCGGAAUUAUUGGGCGUAAAGGGCUCGUAGGCGGUUCGGUAAGUCAGAUGUGAAAGGUUGGGGCUCAACCCUAAGACUGCAUUUGAUACUGCCGUGACUAGAGUCCGGUAGGAGGAGUGUGGAAUUCCUGGUGUAGCGGUGAAAUGCGCAGAUAUCAGGAGGAACACCGACGGCGAAGGCAGCACUCUGGGCCGGUACUGACGCUGAGGAGCGAAAGCGUGGGUAGCAAACAGGAUUAGAUACCCUGGUAGUCCACGCCGUAAACGUUGGGCACUAGGUGUGGGACCUUAUCAACGGGUUCCGUGCCGUAGCUAACGCAUUAAGUGCCCCGCCUGGGGAGUACGG